Molecule: ribosomal RNA, 468 nt
Filed under: uncultured bacterium
Lineage: Bacteria
Description: partial 16S ribosomal RNA
Rfam family: Bacterial small subunit ribosomal RNA
Source: RNAcentral
GACGAACGCUGGCGGCGUGCUUAACACAUGCCAGUCGAACGGAAAGGCCCUGCUUUUGUGGGGUGCUCGAGUGGCGAACGUGUGAGUAACACGUGAGUAACCUGCCCUUGACUUUGGGAUAACUUCAGGAAACUGGGGCUAAUACCGGAUAGGAGCUCCUGCUGCAUGGUGGGGGUUGGAAAGUUUCGGCGGUUGGGGAUGGACUCGCGGCUUAUCAUCUUGUUGGUGGGGUAGUGGCUUACCAAGGCUUUGACGGGUAGCCGGCCUGAGAGGGUGACCGGCCAAAUUGGGAAUGAGAGACGGCCAAGACUCCAACGGGAGGCAGCAGUGGGGAAUAGUGCACAAUGGGCGGAAGCCUGAUGCAGCAACGACGCGUGCGGGAUGACGGCCUUCGGGUUGUAAAACGCAUGAGCAUGUGACGAAGCGUGAGUGACGGUAAUGGGUAAAGAAGCACCGGAUAACUAAGUG